CAGUCGCCGCGGUAAUACGUAGGUCCCGAGCGUUGUCCGGAUUUAUUGGGCGUGAAGCGAGCGCAGGCGGUUAGAUAAGUCUGAAGUUAAAGGCUGUGGCUUAACCAUAGUACGCUUUGGAAACUGUUUAACUUGAGUGCAAGAGGGGAGAGUGGAAUUCCAUGUGUAGCGGUGAAAUGCGUAGAUAUAUGGAGGAACACCGGUGGCGAAAGCGGCUCUCUGGCUUGUAACUGACGCUGAGGCUCGAAAGUGUGGGGAGCAAACAGGAUUAGAUACCCGAGUAGUCCCUGUCUCUUAUACA
This 301-nucleotide ribosomal RNA is filed under the name uncultured bacterium. RNAcentral's name for it is "partial 16S ribosomal RNA". It matches the Rfam family "Bacterial small subunit ribosomal RNA", at positions 509 to 808 of the family's 1533-position model. The record is from RNAcentral.